RNAcentral lists this transfer RNA (74 nucleotides) under Solirubrobacterales bacterium. RNAcentral describes it as "tRNA-Arg". It matches the Rfam family "tRNA". From Rfam's summary of the family: Transfer RNA (tRNA) molecules are approximately 80 nucleotides in length. Their secondary structure includes four short double-helical elements and three loops (D, anti-codon, and T loops). Further hydrogen bonds mediate the characteristic L-shaped molecular structure. tRNAs have two regions of fundamental functional importance: the anti-codon, which is responsible for specific mRNA codon recognition, and the 3' end, to which the tRNAs corresponding amino acid is attached (by aminoacyl-tRNA synthetases). tRNAs cope with the degeneracy of the genetic code in two manners: having more than one tRNA (with a specific anti-codon) for a particular amino acid; and 'wobble' base-pairing, i.e. permitting non-standard base-pairing at the 3rd anti-codon position. The record is from RNAcentral. Lineage: Bacteria; Bacillati; Actinomycetota; Thermoleophilia; Solirubrobacterales.
GCCCCUGUAGCUCAGCUGGAUAGAGCAUCGGACUUCUAAUCCGCAGGUCCCAGGUUCGAAUCCUGGUGGGGGCG